AAAGGUUGAAUUGCUUUCAGUGAAAUUUCAGCAUCACUGGGGAAGAUACUUUGAAGCUGAGGAAACAUCCCAGCUGCUCAGAUCACAGCAUCAGAAAGAGGCAGAGGAGACGGAGGUGAUGGUUUUCCCAGUACUCCUUGGAAAGGAAUAGAGACACAAUGUGGAAUGGCCAGUCAACUGGAACACAGUGUGCGCAACAUUGACAAGCUAGAAUGUGUCCAGAGGAAAACAACUGAAAUGUAUUCUGAGAAGAGUCUAUAGGUUUCAGAAGACUACCAAAAAAGUCCAGGACAUGCAAAAAAGUGAAGAACACUUGGGUAAAGAAUGCUGGAGGUGACAGUCCCAUUCUUCUGCUCUAGUCAGACCUCAUCUCUGGUAUUUUAUUCAGCAGUAGGGAAUCACAUUUAGAAAGGGUACUGACAAACCAAAGUAAAAACAGAGAAAGAUGAAUAGCACACUGGAAGCCAUACUGCAUGCUGCCACACCACGCAAUGCCAACAAGCGCUGCCAGAAACCACCUCGGCUCAGAAUCAAGGCUAUUGUAUGUUAUGAAUUGCAGUGUUUUUUACUGUACAUACAAAACUUUCUGCU
Phascolarctos cinereus (koala) is the source of this 591-nucleotide long non-coding RNA. RefSeq lists it as uncharacterized. The record is from RefSeq and is a predicted model, not a curated record. NCBI's taxonomy places the organism in Eukaryota, Metazoa, Chordata, Mammalia, Diprotodontia, Phascolarctidae.